This 448-nucleotide ribosomal RNA is filed under the name uncultured bacterium. Its description in RNAcentral is "SSU rRNA". It matches the Rfam family "Bacterial small subunit ribosomal RNA", at positions 26 to 518 of the family's 1533-position model. The record is from RNAcentral.
AGAAUCAACGCUGGCGGCGUGCCUAAUACAUGCAAGUCGAACGAGGUCUUCGGACCGAGUGGCGAACGGGUGAGUAACACGUUGGUACCUACCCCGAAGUGGGGAAUAACUGCCCGAAAGGGUGGCUAAUACCGCAUAAUACCGCAAGGUUAAAGCAGUAAUGCGCUUCGGGAGGGGCCUGCGUCCCAUUAGCUAGUUGGUAGGGUAAUGGCCUACCAAGGCGACGAUGGGUAGCUGGAUCGAGAGGUUGACCAGCCACACUGGGACUGAGAUACGGCCCAGACUCCUACGGGAGGCAGCAGUAAGGAAUCUUCCACAAUGGACGAAAGUCUGAUGGAGCAACGCCGCGUGCAGGAUGACGGCCUUCGGGUUGUAAACUGCUUUUAUAUGGGAAGAUUAUGACGGUACCAUAUGAAUAAGGACCGGCUAACUACGUGCCAGCAGCCGC